RNAcentral lists this long non-coding RNA (461 nucleotides) under Rattus norvegicus (Norway rat). RNAcentral describes it as "long non-coding RNA NONRATT020767". The record is from RNAcentral. Lineage: Eukaryota; Metazoa; Chordata; Mammalia; Rodentia; Muridae.
UAUCACUACAUCAAUGCGGCUGAAAAUUCAAUUAAACUAGCCUCCUAGGGUAACUUACAACCCUCUAUUUUCUUUCAAGGAAUAUAGUUCCCCUUUUCAUUUUCUUUUUUUUUUUUUUUUGCUUUCUUUUCUUUUUUGCCAUUUUCGUGAAUUUCUUUUCUUUUAAUUUUCCAUGGUUUGCUGAAGUUCAGAAUAGUCCUCAGCUAUUGUUUCCCUUCAGGUAACAUGCAGCUGCAAAUGGCCAUCUACACUGGCACACAGUCAAGCCCAUGGCCAAGGAAAGAAUGUGAGAGUCUGCAACUUUCCCUUUCCCCUAUUGGCUAUUUGGUCUGCAUCUUCUUUCUGUAACACUCCCAAUAAGUUUGAGUCAAACAGUCCUCCUGCAUCUGAUUUUUGUCUGAAAAAAACUGUGAGAUUUUCAGAUGGGAAUAUCAAUAAAUCACAUGACCUGUCUUCAAUCU